RNAcentral lists this ribosomal RNA (634 nucleotides) under Silene inaperta. Its description in RNAcentral is "eukaryotic LSU rRNA". The stretch from base 249 to 402 matches the Rfam family "5.8S ribosomal RNA". Lineage: Eukaryota; Viridiplantae; Streptophyta; Magnoliopsida; Caryophyllales; Caryophyllaceae. The record is from RNAcentral.
UCGAAACCUGCCCAGCAGAGCGACCCGUGAACAUGUUAAACUUCGUGGGUGUUGGGGCGUUGCUCGGUGCCUCGUGUGCCUGCUCGCCCCUCUCCCAGGCCGGGGGAGCGCCCAUUCGUGGGUUGUUUCCGCGGCUAACCAACGAACCCCGGCGCGUAAAUGCGUCAAGGAAUAUAAACUUUUUGUGCGUGCUCUCCUUUCGCCCGGUUAGCCGGGCGUUGGAGUAGUGCCAUGUCUUAACAAUAAACGACUCUCGGCAACGGAUAUCUCGGCUCUCGCAUCGAUGAAGAACGUAGCGAAAUGCGAUACUUGGUGUGAAUUGCAGAAUCCCGUGAACCAUCGAGUUUUUGAACGCAAGUUGCGCCCGAAGCUUCGGCUGAGGGCACGUCUGCCUGGGCGUCACGCAUCGCGUCUCCCCCAAAAACCACCAUCGGUGGAAGGGGGAGGAGGAUGGUUUCCCGCGACUCACCGGUCGCGGCUGGCCUAAAAUUGGAGCCCUCGGCAUCGGUAUGCCGCGGCGAUAGGUGGUGAACAAGGCCUCGGCCAAGCAAGCAACCCGUCGCACAUGCCGUGCCAAUGUGGGCUCGCAGGACCCUUUGUUGUUGCCUUCAAGGCAACCAAACCGUUGCGACCC